This 380-nucleotide ribosomal RNA is filed under the name uncultured Acidimicrobiaceae bacterium. RNAcentral describes it as "bacterial SSU rRNA". It matches the Rfam family "Bacterial small subunit ribosomal RNA", at positions 1000 to 1382 of the family's 1533-position model. Lineage: Bacteria; Bacillati; Actinomycetota; Acidimicrobiia; Acidimicrobiales; Acidimicrobiaceae. The record is from RNAcentral.
CUAGAGAUAGGGUGUCCUUCGGGGCGGUACACAGGUGGUGCAUGGCUGUCGUCAGCUCGUGUCGUGAGAUGGUUGGGUUAAGUCCCGCAACGAGCGCAACCCUUAUCCUAUGUUGCCAGCACGUAAUGGUGGGGACUCGUAGGAGACUGCCGGGGUCAACUCGGAGGAAGGUGGGGAUGACGUCAAGUCAUCAUGCCCCUUAUGCCCAGGGCUGCAAACACGCUACAAUGGCCGGUACAGAGGGCUGCGAUCCCGCGAGGGUGAGCGAAUCCCACAAAGCCGGUCUCAGUUCGGAUUGGAGUCUGCAACUCGACUCCAUGAAGCCGGAGUUGCUAGUAAUCCUGGAUCAGCACGCCAGGGUGAAUACGUUCCCGGGCCUU